GGGAACAUUCCGGUAAGGGACGUAUUUAACUUUCCUUUCCACAAUGUUCG
RNAcentral lists this microRNA precursor (50 nucleotides) under Ciona intestinalis (vase tunicate). RNAcentral's name for it is "microRNA cin-mir-4006g precursor". The record is from miRBase by way of RNAcentral. Lineage: Eukaryota; Metazoa; Chordata; Ascidiacea; Phlebobranchia; Cionidae.